CCGGCGCACGGGUGAGUAACACGUAUGCAACCUGGCCGCCACAGGGGGAUAACCCGCGGAAACGCGGCCUAAUACCCCGUGACGCCACCGGAGGGCAUCCUCCGGUGGCCAAAGGAGCGAUCCGGUGGCGGAUGGGCAUGCGGCGCAUUAGCUAGACGGCGGGGUGACGGCUCACCGUGGCGACGAUGCGUAGGGGUUCUGAGAGGAAGGCCCCCCACACUGGGACUGAGACACGGCCCAGACUCCUACGGAAGGCAGCAG
Molecule: ribosomal RNA, 261 nt
Filed under: uncultured bacterium
Lineage: Bacteria
Description: partial 16S ribosomal RNA
Rfam family: Bacterial small subunit ribosomal RNA
Source: RNAcentral